GGGUCUGUAGUACCAUACAGUGACCUAUCGUAUUGUGGCCCUUUCUAAAUCCUGCCUGUUCCUGGUUGAACAGGUUAGAAUGGUCCGCCCAAUCUACCAGCUUGUUUAAUAGGUACCGGGUAUAAAGUUUGUAUGCGAUGUCCAGAAGGCUUAUAGGGCGGUAGUUUGCUGGAUCUUGAAUGUCUCCCUUCUUAUAGAUAGGGACUACCACACUUAGUUUCCAAUUUGCUGGGAUUUUACAUGUGUUGUUCAUUGCCGUAAAAAGUUUGGCCAAAAAGAUGGCCCACCAUUGGGCAUUUAAUUUAAAAACCUCAGGGGGGAUCAUGUCCUCGCCAGGAGCUUUGCCAUUUUUUAAAGUUUUAAUUAGCUGUAGGCACUCUGAUUCCGUAACAGGAUCCCAACUAACUAGAUGCUCAUUCUUCAAUGGGAGGAGCGGACUCAAAUUAGCAGUAUUUGAGAGUGUGUAUAGCUUGAGAAAGUGUUGAUACCACACAUCGGAUGGAAUACUGCUGUUUACAAUUUUUCCUUUGGAUGAGACUCCCUGUGCUACUAUUGCCCAGAAUUUUCUAUCGUCUCGCGAUUUAAUCGCCUUAUCAAGUGCCUCCCAUUGUUUCUUCCUGUAAAGGGAUUUCUUGAGUUUUAAGGUGUAUUUAUAGUGAGAGCGCCAUCUGUGGAAAUUUACCAUAGAUGACAAAGUCCUCUCCUGUUUUACCUUAUUUUGUUGUUUCCUAAGCAGGGAUCUUAGCUUCCGGCAGUCUUUGUCAAACCAGGCCCCGAUUUGUUAUGUUGUAUGGGAGGCCUGGUGUUUAUAAGAAAUGGGAAAAGGGACUCUGAGACCCGCUGAUAUAGUGAAAAAGGAUCAAAGUUAGGUAAAGGACACUGGUCUCUCAGAACCAAUAGAUCUGGAGAGUGCAGGUGUUGAUUAAUUUUAAGCUCCAGCUCGCUGUUCCAUUUACGCCUGCGUGGGGCCGGUGCUUGAGGAGGGGCUGCACAAUGUAGAUGUUGUAAUCCCCCUGAUUCAAGGGGAGUUAGUGAGAUUGCUCUAGGAAGAUGGUCGCUCUCAAUUCUAUUAAAAGUGCUGAGACCCUGUACCCUCUCCAAAAUUGUUGGAGAGACCAGGAUAUGGUCAAUCACACUUGCACCACGAGGGCCGAUAAAAGAGAAGAAACCUCCUGACCUGUCCAUGUAAGUACCAUGCAGGUUGUACAGAUUAUGCUUAAAAGCAAUCUCCAGUAAUGUAAUACCUGCCUUGUUCAAGACCUUUUCAUCAGAACUCCAAGGGAUAAGCCAGUCUGCCUCUGGUAGAAACUGGGUUUUGGAGCUAUACGAAUUGAUGUCGCUGCCUAUCCUGGCAUUAAAGUCACCUGCCAGCAGGAUGUUCCAGUCAGGGAAUUCUAUUUUGGCCUUCUCCAAGCAUGACUCCAAAUCUUCCCAGAUUUGUACUGUCUGAGAGGAAGUACACACGGGGGAUAUAGACGUUGAAACAUAGAAGAUCUCCUCCUGUGUUAUUGGAGAUAAGUAAAAUCUGAAAAUUGUUGUUCUUCAUCCACUGCAGUUGUCGCACCCUGUACCCUUGCUCUAUAGGAAUAAAAGUGACCAAACCGCCGCUAGGUCGGCCACGGUUAUUUAGUUUUUUCGCAGGGGUAGCAAAAGCCGCAUAGCCCUGUAAGUAAGGGGGAUGAGAGUCUAGGCACCAGGUCUCUUGUAGACAAAUAAUCUGGAAUUUUGAGAGAAAAUCCAGAAAAUCAGCAGCGCCCUGCUUAGACAGCCAGCCCGCCACAUUCCACGAUAAGAUGUGAAAAUAUGGUGGUGAGGGGAACAAAGGUAGACUUCUCCGUUUGUUCUUUAGGAUGAUGGAAUGAAUGUUUUUGUAGAGGUGGAGUGAGCUGUUGGUAUCCUUUGUGGUAGGUACUAACCUAGUGAGUUUUGUUUCACUGGCGUGGUGUCCCCUCGCUGUAUCUGUCUUUCAAUCCUCCACCUGAAUGCCAUCUAAGGAUCCUGAGGCAUCCACAAAGAUUGAACCGUUCCUACUCAUCGGCAUGGCAAGGUCUACCUGGUGUGUUGUUGUUUGAGGUGUUAAGGGUUGUGUGGGAGAACCCACUUCUUCGGGGACAGGAACCGGCACUGCGUCCAGUCUUCGUUGGAUAAGGGCUUUGUUGUGUUAGUAGCAAAAUUAAAUUCCAAAGGAGCAGAAAAACCCUGGCGGACUAAGGAUUUUUUGGUUUGUAACCUAGCUAUUAACGCAUCCUGGGACUGUUGAAUUUGCUCAAGGGAGGCUAGAAAGAGCAUCUCCUUUUCAUUUAAGAUUUCUUUUUGGGUUCAUUGGAAGGGAGUAAUGUUUUUGGAGCUUAGCCUUCUGUUUGGAAAUUUUGACUGCCUCCGGUUGACCUUGUUUGCAGUUUUCAGAAGCCAUUUCCAAUUCUGUGCGCGGACUAGUCGGCUUACGUGUUCCUAAGAGGGAUGGUGGAACGCCGGACUCUUCAAAAAGGCGGGUCACCAACAGGCCAGCCCUCUGGAGCCUGUCCCUCUUGUCCAUGAUUUGUUUAGUUACCGACCAGUCCUUAAAGGUCACCACAACUCUGUUUUGGGCCAUAUCAAAAGGAAGAAAUUUAACGCUGACAAUAUUUCCUGCUGGUAUAAGGCUUCUGAUGACUAAGUCAAUUUUCUUAAGUAAAUAAAUUCUCUGUUGUGCAAGCGUGGAAAGGCCUCCAUGCUUGAAGAGAGGGAGGAGGACUAAUUUAUGUUUAAUUAAAAUUAAGUUCUGGCUCUUUUGUACUCCCUUCUGGGGAGUUUCUUGCUUUGGAUCUGGAGUUUCCUUUAAUUUUCCACUAGAGGGCAGCGAUUGUUUUGCUAGCCUUGGAGGGCUAGUCACCUGAUGUAUAUUUAAAAUGUUUGGGCUUUGGCUCUUAUUUGGCGUUGUUUUGUUGGAGUUCUUUGUGCUUGAGUUC
Molecule: non-coding RNA, 2948 nt
Organism: Podarcis lilfordi (Lilford's wall lizard)
Lineage: Eukaryota; Metazoa; Chordata; Lepidosauria; Squamata; Lacertidae
Source: the annotation of a GenBank genome assembly